Molecule: long non-coding RNA, 193 nt
Organism: Lingula anatina
Lineage: Eukaryota; Metazoa; Brachiopoda; Lingulata; Lingulida; Lingulidae
Source: RefSeq, a predicted model, not a curated record
CAACCUUUUCAUCAAACUUGCUUGUACGAGUGGUUGCGAGCACUCCCUUCUAGUCGCCAAAGCUUUAACACAAUAUUUGGAGAAUGUCCAUACUGUAAUAAGCCAAUCACAGUUAAGAUGCCAUCCUAGCAAUCAAACUUAAAAGGCAUUGUUAUGAUGCUCAAUGCCAAAUUCCAUGUAAAAUGUUUACCAG